Molecule: ribosomal RNA, 101 nt
Filed under: Fusobacterium sp. DD1
Lineage: Bacteria; Fusobacteriati; Fusobacteriota; Fusobacteriia; Fusobacteriales; Fusobacteriaceae
Also listed under: 12 other names
Source: RNAcentral
GUGAGAAUAGCUACAGGGAUACACCUAGUUACAUUCCGAACCUAGAAGUUAAGCCUGUAAACGCUGAAAGUACUUGGUUGGAGACGACCUGGGAGGAUAGG